AUUGAACGCUGGCGGCAUGCUUUACACAUGCAAGUCGAACGGCAGCGCGGGGCAACCUGGCGGCGAGUGGCGAACGGGUGAGUAAUAUAUCGGAACGUACCCAGAAGUGGGGGAUAACGUAGCGAAAGUUACGCUAAUACCGCAUACGAUCUACGGAUGAAAGUGGGGGACCUUCGGGCCUCAUGCUUGUGGAGCGGCCGAUAUCUGAUUAGCUAGUUGGUGAGGUAAAGGCUCACCAAGGCGACGAUCAGUAGCUGGUCUGAGAGGACGACCAGCCACACUGGGACUGAGACACGGCCCAGACUCCUACGGGAGGCAGCAGUGGGGAAUUUUGGACAAUGGGCGCAAGCCUGAUCCAGCAAUGCCGCGUGAGUGAAGAAGGCCUUCGGGUUGUAAAGCUCUUUUGUCAGGGAAGAAACGGUUUGGGCUAAUAUCCUGGGCUAAUGACGGUACCUGAAGAAUAAGCACCGGCUAGCUACGUGCCAGCAGCCGCCGUAA
This 498-nucleotide ribosomal RNA is filed under the name uncultured bacterium. RNAcentral's name for it is "partial 16S ribosomal RNA". It matches the Rfam family "Bacterial small subunit ribosomal RNA", at positions 30 to 523 of the family's 1533-position model. The record is from RNAcentral.